Molecule: ribosomal RNA, 494 nt
Filed under: uncultured bacterium
Lineage: Bacteria
Description: partial 16S ribosomal RNA
Rfam family: Bacterial small subunit ribosomal RNA
Source: RNAcentral
GACGAACGCUGGCGGCGUGCCUAAUACAUGCAAGUAGAACGGAAAGGGAGGGGCUUGCUGGGCUGGAUGAGUGGCGAACGGGUGAGUAACACGUGAGUAACCUGCCUUGUAGCGGGGGAUAACUUCAGGAAACGAUAGCUAAUACCGGAUAACAGCAGCUGUUGCAUGGUGAGGGUUGGAAAGGGGCGACGGCUCGACAACGACAUGCGGCUGCGUAGUAUUAGCUAGUGGGAGGGGUAAAGGCUCACCAUGGCGGGGAGACGGAGCCGACGUGUGAGGGGGAUCGGCCGCACUGGGACUGGGCCGCGGCCCAGGCUCCUACGGGACGCCGCAGUAUGCUAUCUUCGGCAAUGGACGGAAGUCUGGCCCAGCGAGGCCGAGUGUGUGAAGACGGCUUUCGGUUCGUAAAGCUCUGUUGUGGGUGAAGAACGGGUGUGGGCUUGGACGGAGCGCGCUUGGCGGUAAUGGGACAAGAAGCACCGGCUUACUUCGGU